CAGUCGGACGGUAACGGGUAAGUACUUGUACUUAUGCUGACGAGUGGCGGACGGGUGAGUAAUGCUUGGGAAUCUGUCUUAUGGAGGGGGAUAACGACGGGAAACUGUCGCUAAUACCGCGUAGAGUCGGGAGACGAAAGUGCGGGACUUAAUGGCCGCAUGCCAUGAGAUGAGCCCAAGUGUGAUUAGGUAGUUGGUGGGGUAAAGGCCUACCAAGCCGACGAUCGCUAGCUGGUCUGAGAGGAUGGCCAGCCACACCGGGACUGAGACACGGCCCGGACUCCUACGGGAGGCAGCAGUGGGGAAUAUUGCGCAAUGGGGGCAACCCUGACGCAGCCAUGCCGCGUGAAUGAAGAAGGCCUUCGGGUUGUAAAGUUCUUUCGGUGGUGAGGAAGGGAUGUUGUUUAAUAGAUAACAUCAUUGACGUUAACUACAGAAGAAGCACCGGCUAACUCCGUGCCAGCAGCCGCGGUAAUACGGAGGGUGCGAGCGUUAAUCGGAAUAACUGGGCGUAAAGGGCACGCAGGCGGACCUUUAAGUGAGGUGUGAAAUCCCCGGGGCUUAACCUGGGAAUUGCAUUUCAUACUGGGGGUCUGGAGUACUUUAGGGAGGGGUAGAAUUCCACGUGUAGCGGUGAAAUGCGUAGAGAUGUGGAGGAAUACCGAAGGCGAAGGCAGCCCCUUGGGGAUGUACUGACGCUGAUGUGCGAAAGCGUGGGGAGCAAACAGGAUUAGAUACCCUGGUAGUCCACGCUGUAAACGGUGUCGAUUUGGGGAUUGGGGUUUAGCCUUGGUGCCCGAAGCUAACGUGAUAAAUCGACCGCCUGGGGAGUACGGCCGCAAGGUUAAAACUCAAAUGAAUUGACGGGGGCCCGCACAAGCGGUGGAGCAUGUGGUUUAAUUCGAUGCAACGCGAAGAACCUUACCUACUCUUGACAUCCAUGGAAUCCUGUAGAGAUACGGGAGUGCCUUUGGGAACCAUGAGACAGGUGCUGCAUGGCUGUCGUCAGCUCGUGUUGUGAAAUGUUGGGUUAAGUCCCGCAACGAGCGCAACCCUUAUCCUUUGUUGCCAGCGACUUGGUCGGGAACUCAAAGGAGACUGCCGGUGAUAAACCGGAGGAAGGUGGGGAUGACGUCAAGUCAUCAUGGCCCUUACGAGUAGGGCUACACACGUGCUACAAUGGCGUAUACAGAGGGUAACCAACCGGUGAUGGGGAGUGAAUCUCAAAAAGUACGUCUAAGUCGGAUG
Molecule: ribosomal RNA, 1248 nt
Filed under: Aggregatibacter actinomycetemcomitans
Lineage: Bacteria; Pseudomonadati; Pseudomonadota; Gammaproteobacteria; Pasteurellales; Pasteurellaceae
Description: bacterial SSU rRNA
Rfam family: Bacterial small subunit ribosomal RNA
Source: RNAcentral